UUGUCUCAAAGAAUUAGCCAUGCAUGUCUCAGUACAAGCCAAAUUAAGGUGAAACCGCGAAAGGCUCAUUAAAUCAGUUAUGGUUCCUUAGAUCGUACCCACAUUUACUUGGAUAACUGUGGUAAUUCUAGAGCUAAUACAUGCAAACAGAGCUCCGACCGGAAACGGAAGGAGCGCUUUUAUUAGAUCAAAACCAAUCGGUGGCGGUCUCCGUCAUCGUACAACUUGGUGAUUCUGAAUAACUUUAAGCUGAUCGCACGGUCUCGCACCGGCGACGCAUCUUUCAAAUGUCUGCCUUAUCAACUGUCGAUGGUAGGUUCUGCGCCUACCAUGGUUGUAACGGGUAACGGGGAAUCAGGGUUCGAUUCCGGAGAGGGAGCCUGAGAAACGGCUACCACAUCCAAGGAAGGCAGCAGGCGCGCAAAUUACCCACUCCCGGCACGGGGAGGUAGUGACGAAAAAUAACGAUACGGGACUCAUCCGAGGCCCCGUAAUCGGAAUGAGUACACUCUAAACCCUUUAACGAGGAUCAAUUGGAGGGCAAGUCUGGUGCCAGCAGCCGCGGUAAUUCCAGCUCCAAUAGCGUAUAUUAAAGUUGUUGCGGUUAAAAAGCUCGUAGUCGAAUCUGUGUCCCGCGCCGCCGGUUCAUCGUUCGCGGUGUCAACUGGCGUGCCGCGGGACGUCCUGCCGGUGGGCUUAGCUCGCGAGGGCGGCCCAACUCAAUCCCGCCGCGGUGCUCUUCAUUGAGUGUCGAGGUGGGCCGGCACGUUUACUUUGAACAAAUUAGAGUGCUUAAAGCAGGCUAAAACUUCGCCUGAAUACUGUGUGCAUGGAAUAAUGGAAUAGGACCUCGGUUCUAUUUUGUUGGUUUUCGGAACCCCGAGGUAAUGAUUAAUAGGAACGGAUGGGGGCAUUCGUAUUGCGACGUUAGAGGUGAAAUUCUUGGAUCGUCGCAC
RNAcentral lists this ribosomal RNA (956 nucleotides) under Palorus sp. COL168. RNAcentral's name for it is "SSU rRNA". It matches the Rfam family "Eukaryotic small subunit ribosomal RNA", at positions 32 to 933 of the family's 1831-position model. Lineage: Eukaryota; Metazoa; Arthropoda; Insecta; Coleoptera; Tenebrionidae. The record is from RNAcentral.